This 254-nucleotide ribosomal RNA is filed under the name uncultured bacterium. RNAcentral's name for it is "partial 16S ribosomal RNA". It matches the Rfam family "Bacterial small subunit ribosomal RNA", at positions 524 to 776 of the family's 1533-position model. The record is from RNAcentral.
UACGUAGGUGGCAAGCGUUGUCCGGAAUUAUUGGGCGUACAGCGCGCGCAGGCGGCCUCUUAAGUCUGAUGUGAAAGCCCCCCGGCUCAACCGGGGAGGGCCAUUGGAAACUGGGAGGCUUGAGUAUAGGAGAGAAGAGUGGAAUUCCACGUGUAGCGGUGAAAUGCGUAGAGAUGUGGAGGAACACCAGUGGCGAAGGCGACUCUUUGGCCUAUAACUGACGCUGAGGCGCGAAAGCGUGGGGAGCAAACAGG